This 207-nucleotide ribosomal RNA is filed under the name uncultured bacterium. RNAcentral's name for it is "partial 16S ribosomal RNA". It matches the Rfam family "Bacterial small subunit ribosomal RNA", at positions 568 to 774 of the family's 1533-position model. The record is from RNAcentral.
CGUGUAGGCGGUCCGCUAAGUCUGAUGUGAAAGCCCGGGGCUCACCCCCGGAAGGGCAUUGGAAACUGGCGGACUCGAGUCCCGGAGAGGAGGGUGGAAUUCCUGGUGUAGCGGUGAAAUGCGUAGAUAUCAGGAGGAACACCGGUGGCGAAGGCGGCCCUCUGGACGGUGACUGACGCUGAGACGCGAAAGCGUGGGGGAGAAACA